Long non-coding RNA from Prunus avium (sweet cherry), 662 nucleotides. RefSeq lists it as uncharacterized. Lineage: Eukaryota; Viridiplantae; Streptophyta; Magnoliopsida; Rosales; Rosaceae. The record is from RefSeq and is a predicted model, not a curated record.
AUUUAAAAACCUAACCCAAAUUUGUUAGUUUCUCAGAUCUCUCUCUGUCUCUCUCUCUCCGCGUCUUCUCCCUUUCUCCUCCCCUGUGUUUCGACCGACACCGACAAAACCCCCCAGCCACUGUCCCGUCGGCCACCGGACCGGUCAAGUUUUGACCGGCGUCGCACCCCAAGCCAGCUCCAACCUUCCUCCUACCUCUGCUGCUGCUGUUUUGUAGGAAAACCCCGGUUUUGAUCGGAUUUUUACUCGGUUUUCCAAUCCCUCGAUCUCUCUCCUCCGGUCCUCAAAUCCUUCGAUUGAGGUCAAAUUUUGCAUGUUUGAAUUUUCAAGGCUUUUACACUGCAGUCUUGGAGAAAGAUGAUGUGUUGAUAUCUGUAGCAUCAAUCAGUGAAUAAGGGGCAACGAAGUUGGUCCCAUGCAGACGGUGGCGGUUGCUGGCUGGCGGGGCUGGAAUCCGGCGGUGGUAGGUGGCCGGUGGCGAUAGGUGGCCGGCGGUGAAAGGUGGUCGGAGGUGGCCGGCGGUGGGGGUUGGCUGGAUGUGGACAUGUGGCAUAGUAUGCUUGCCUUAGAAGGAAUGGCAUUGUGUGUAAUUUUGAUAUUUUUUAAUGAUAUUUUUGUAAAAUUGGGUACUCAUUCUGGUCUUUGGCCUUAUGCUAAUUAGA